UCAUUCAUAUGUUUCUUGCACUAACGUUGGAACGUUAAAUUACUAAUUUUCGUUACCUGCUUCGCCAAGUUUGUAAACUGUAGACGCUACUAUACGGUGUUUGCCCCUCCACACUGAAGAGAGUUCAAGUGCUACCAUUGGUCAAAAAUAAUGUCUGACUUUUAUAAAUACGGUGGAGUUGAGGGUAGUGGAUCGUUGGCUAGCGGAGAUGACAAUCGUGCUAAUUGCAAUUAUUGAUAAUAAUUUAAUGCAUUUUUUCUGUAUAUUUUGAUACUAAUGAAAUUAAGUAUUUAUACAUUGAAAAUUAACAUUGUAAUGUUAUAUUGUCUUACAAAUAAAACAAUUAUACCUUUUUAAAAUACAAGAG
This 367-nucleotide long non-coding RNA is filed under the name Mytilus galloprovincialis (Mediterranean mussel). Lineage: Eukaryota; Metazoa; Mollusca; Bivalvia; Mytilida; Mytilidae. The record is from RNAcentral.